RNAcentral lists this ribosomal RNA (252 nucleotides) under uncultured bacterium. Its description in RNAcentral is "partial 16S ribosomal RNA". It matches the Rfam family "Bacterial small subunit ribosomal RNA", at positions 524 to 776 of the family's 1533-position model. The record is from RNAcentral.
UACGGAGGAUGCGAGCGUUAUCCGGAUUUAUUGGGUUUAAAGGGUGCGUAGGCGGACUGUCAAGUCAGCGGUAAAAUUGAGAGGCUCAACCUCUUCCCGCCGUUGAAACUGGUGGUCUUGAGUGGAUGAGAAGUAUGCGGAAUGCGUGGUGUAGCGGUGAAAUGCAUAGAUAUCACGCAGAACCCCGAUUGCGAAGGCAGCAUACCGGCGCCCGACUGACGCUGAAGCACGAAAGCGUGGGUAUCGAACAGG